Molecule: non-coding RNA, 85 nt
Filed under: Streptomyces longwoodensis
Lineage: Bacteria; Bacillati; Actinomycetota; Actinomycetes; Kitasatosporales; Streptomycetaceae
Source: RNAcentral
GGGGAAGUCCGGUGAGAACCCGGCGCUGACCCGCAACGGUGUGCACGGGACCGCGAGUUCGGUCCUCGUGCGAGCCCGAUCGCCC